Molecule: long non-coding RNA, 4270 nt
Organism: Mytilus californianus (California mussel)
Lineage: Eukaryota; Metazoa; Mollusca; Bivalvia; Mytilida; Mytilidae
Exons: 2
Source: RefSeq, a predicted model, not a curated record
UUUUAAAGGCAGUGCUUUAAUGCCUUUCUAGUUGCCGGGUUAAUCCUUCCUUCCGCGAUAUCCAACUUAUCUACGUGGGGGGUCAUUAGACUCCAAGUAGAUCCGGAAAUGUUGAAUUCUCUCCUCUUCUUAUUGCGAUAUAAAAUGUUUUUUGUUUCAUUUCAUUUACAUUGGGAAAUAGAGAAACGAUCAUUGUGUUUUGUUAGUUUUAAAAACUUUUGAUAUAUUAGUAUUUUGCAUUAUAAGCAGUCAACCGAUUGACAAACUAGAAUUAUUUGAAUUCCGUGUGGAAAGAGCUCGGGUUAAUUUCGAGUGUUAUCUGCAAUCUAGAUGUUUAUAAAUCAUUUCAGUCGUUGAUAUAAUAAUUAAAGGUCGACUGAACAUGAAUUAUAUUAUACAAUUUAAAGCGCAUUUCUGUUUAUGCAAGUGAACCCUUCUAACGUUAUUUUCGCAGUUAUAUAAAGUAGCAAAUUAUCGUUCCUGAAUAGGUGGCGCCGUGGUAGCGGAUCCUGUUCCUCUUCUUCCGGUUUCUGCACUGUGCAACUAUUUCAGUUAUAUUUUUAAUUAACGAUGCCAAGUACUUGUUGUUGUGUACCUGGAUGUCAUUUAAGAGGAGGACAUGCAUUUCCAAAUGACUUAAAAAGAAGGAAAAGUUGGAUCAACGCCAUGGCCCAUACGCAGAUUGGACGGGAACACGAUGAUAUCGUGGAGUCCAUCUCAAUCAGCUGUUGUUUGCAAGGCACGUUUUACUGAAAAAGACUACGUGCAGGAAACUAUUCAUGGGUGCAAACCCACCAUACAGAGACUUAAGUCUACUGCAAUUCCCAGCCUAUUUUCCUGGACCAAGCAAGAGACUGAAUCGUCCGCAAAAAGAAAAAUCAGGGCAGUUUCCUGUGAAAACAAAAGAACUAAACUUGAUGAAUAUUGUAGUAGAAAUCUAGAGGAAAGUUUUGAUUGUAAAGUUGGUUUUCCUGAAGAAGUCAUUCAUACUGCAGAAAGGAUUUAUGACUGUCCACCACCAACUGCUGAGCUAAUGUUGAGCUUCACAGAUGGAAUUACGCAAACACCAUCAAUGCCUAUGUUUUCAGCAGAGAAUUUUGAAAUGAAGACACGUGACACAGCCAUGCAUUUUUAUACCGGUUUAGAGUUGUAUAGUAAAUUUUUAUUUGUUUUGACCACACUUGGUCCAGCAGCACAUUGUUUGAGAUACAUAUAUUUUCAAAUUGAUAGGGUGUCAGUUGAAAAUCAGUUUUUUUAUGACUUUGAUGAAAUUGAGGCAUCAUACAACCAACUUUGAACUGUCUAGAUUCUAGAUUGAAUCUACAUGUAGUGUUAAGAAUAUUGUGUAUACAUGGAUUGUUUUUAUGUCUAAACAGUGGUGUGAGGCUAACACUUGGCCAUCUAGUGGUUUAGUCAGGUAUUUUUCACCAUCCAACUUCAAAUUAAAGUUUCCUACGACUUGGAUUAUUAUUGACAGCAUAGAAUAUCCCGUGAUAAAACCUAAAGCUCCUAGAGCUCAGGCAACCUUUUCAUCAAAUAAAAACAGAAACACUGAAAAUUCUUGAAUGUUCGACACCUGGUGGUUUAGUCAACUAUGUCUCUAUGUCACAUAGAGCGAAUUAUUGGACUUGGCAAAACAUACAAAAUUCUAAUAAAUCCUAUGAAUGGAACUGAAACAAAACUUUCAUCUGAAAUAACAUUUAGUUGUUUUAUGUUGUGUAAUUUUAGAACUUGUAUUGUGCCAAAGGAUGCAUAAAUAAAAGUGACGCAAUGAAUUUUGUUCUGAUAUAUAUAUAUUUACAAUUACAUGCACAUGUAAUUUGUAAUGCAUAUAAAAAUAAGGAGAUGUGGUAUGAUAUUCAGUGAGUUUAUCAAACUAAAGUGCAUAAGAAAGGGGUUUAAGCAGUUACAGGUGUUACUGUCACCGUACAAUCUCCAACAAUGAGAAAAACUCGUACCCUGUAAAAAAUUUCAGAGAUCUUACAACUAAGUUUUGUUGUCUCACCUUGACUUUGGUGAAUUUUUUAUAUCUGUUGAUGUAAAUAUAAAAAAGAAGAUGUGGUAUGAUUGCCAAUGAGACAACUCUCCACACAUGCACAAGAGACCAAAUGACACAGAAAUUAACAGCUAUAGGUCACAGUACGGCCUUCAACAAUGAGCAAAGCCCAUACCGCACAGUCAGCUAUAAAAGGCCCAGAAAUGACAAUGUAAAACAAUUCAAACAAGAAAACUAACGGCCUAUUUUAUGUAAAAAAAUGAACAAAUAUAACAAAUAUGCAACACAUAAACAAACGACAACCACUGAAUUACACUUUUAUAGGCUCCUGACUUGGGACAGGCACAUACAUGUACAUACAGAAUGUGGCGGGCUUAAACAUGUUAGCCGGAUCCCAACCCUCCCCCUAACCUGGGACAGUGGUGUAACAGUACAAUAUAAGAAAGAACUAUAAAAAUCAGUUGAAAGAGGCUAAACUCAUCAGAUGGAUAAAUACAAAUACAAGUGGACGUGGUCGGGUAGUUGUACAUCCAAACAACAAAAAGACACUAAGUACAAAUCUGAGAGUACUCACAGUUACUGACAGCUAGUUCAAAGCCACUAACAACUGAUAAAAAAAUCUUGCAUCUAAGACUAAAUUAUCAAUCCGUAAGCUCCCUUUAGAAUUUUAUAAAUUUUAGAUUUUACAUUUCUGAGUUAUGGGGUUUUAUUCAUUAAAAAAGGGGGGGAUUUUCCAGUUUUUGGACAACAACUCAAAAAUGCUUUAAGCAGUUCACAUGAAACUUUGUUGAAUUAUUUAUAGCUAUUGAUGUAAUCUCCCUAUUGAUUUUCAUAAAUUUCAAAUAUGACAUUGAGAAGAAAUUGAACUUUAUUUGUUUAUAGUCUGGCAACAGAUUUAUUAAGUAUUGCACAACAGCACAGUGUAUUGCACAACAGCAAGAAAUCUUUAAUUGAAUAUAAAUUCAAUUCAUAUAACCGAUUUCAAGUUCAUUGACUACAUUUAUUCAGAAACUAUAAUAUGUCAAAUAUUUAAUUACAAUCCAAAUUCAGACCUGUAUCAAGCUUGAAUAUUGUGUUCAUUUUUGCCCCAGCUGUUCAGGGUAGUACCUCUGCGGGUGUAUCCAGCUGCGCUCAGCGAAUCAGUUUAUUUCUUAAUUAAGAACUCCUUUUUAUAUGACUGCAAACAAAUUUUGUGGUCGUAUAUUGGUAUGACGUUGGCGUCGUCGUCGUCCGGCGUCGUCAUCCGAAGACACGUUAGUUUUCGCACUCUAACUUUAGUUUAAGUGAAUGGAUCUCAAUGAAAUUUUAAAAUAAGGUUCAAUACCACAAAAGGAAAGUGGGGAUUGAUUUUGGGGGUUAUGGUACCAACAGUUAAGGAAUUAGGGGCCAAAAAUAAGCAUUUUUGUAACUUCCAGACAUAACUUGUGUGUAAGUGUAUGGAUCUCACAAGGUUCCAUAACACAAAGGGAAUGCUGGGAUUGAUUUUUGGGGGUAAUUGCCUCCAAAUUUUAGGAAUUAGGGGCCAAAAAGGGGCAAAAAACAAGCAUUUUUCUAGUUUCAUGACAAUAAAGAGUGUGCAAGUCUAUGGAUCUCUCUGACAUUGUAUCACAAGGUUCCAUAUCACAAAGGGAAUGCUGGGAUUGAAUUUGGGGGUAAUUGCCUCCAAAUUUUAGGAAUUAGGGGCCAAAAAGGGGCAAAAAACAAGCAUUUUUCUAGUUUCAUGGCAAUAACUUGUGUGUAAGUGUAUGGAUCUUUAUGAAAUUGUACUACAAGGUUCCAUUUCACAAAGGGAAAGCUGGAAUUGAGUUUGGGGGUAAUUGCCCAAAAAGUUUAGGAAUAAGGGGCCAAAAAUAAGCAUUUUUCUAGUUUCCAGACAAUAACUUGUGUUCAAGUGUAUGGAUCUCUCUGAAAUUGUACUGCAAGGUACCAUACCACAAAGGGAAUGCUGGGAUUGAUUUUGGGGGUAAUUGCCUCCAAAUUUUAGGAAUUAGGGGCAAAAAACAAGCAUUUUUCUAGUUUCAUGACAAUAACUUGUGUGUAAGUGUAUGGAUCUCUCUGACAUUGUAUCACAUGGUUCCAUAUCACAAAGGGAAUGCUGGGACUGAUUUUGGGGGUAAUUGCCUCCAAAUUUUAGGAAUUAGGGGCCAAAAAGGGGCAAAAAACAAGCAUUUUUCUAGUUUCAUGGCAAUAACUUGUGUGUAAGUGUAUGGAUCUUUAUGAAAUUGUACUACAAGGUUCCAUAUCACAAAGGGAAAGCUGGGUUUGAGUUUGGGG